UACGUAGGGUGCGAGCGUUAAUCGGAAUUACUGGGCGUAAAGCGUGCGCAGGCGGUUCUGCAAGUCAGAUGUGAAAUCCCCGGGCUCAACCUGGGAACUGCGUUUGAAACUACAGAGCUAGAGUAUGGGAGAGGGAGGUAGAAUUCCACGUGUAGCAGUGAAAUGCGUAGAGAUGUGGAGGAAUACCAAUGGCGAAGGCAGCCUCCUGGCCUAAUACUGACGCUCAUGCACGAAAGCGUGGGGAGCAAACAGG
Molecule: ribosomal RNA, 253 nt
Filed under: uncultured bacterium
Lineage: Bacteria
Description: partial 16S ribosomal RNA
Rfam family: Bacterial small subunit ribosomal RNA
Source: RNAcentral